GACGAACGCUGGCGGCGUGCUUAACACAUGCAAGUCGAACGGAAAGGCCCUGCUUUUGUGGGGUGCUCGAGUGGCGAACGGGUGAGUAACACGUGAGUAACCUGCCCUUGACUUUGGGAUAACUUCAGGAAACUGGGGCUAAUACCGGAUAGGAGCUCCUGCUGCAUGGUGGGGGUUGGAAAGUUUCGGCGGUUGGGGAUGGACUCGCGGCUUAUCAGCUUGUUGGUGGGGUAGUGGCUUACCAAGGCUUUGACGGGUAGCCGGCCUGAGAGGGUGGCCGGCCACAUUGGGACUGAGAUACGGCCCAGACUCCUACGGGAGGCAGCAGUGGGGAAUAUUGCACAAUGGGCGGAAGCCUGAUGCAGCAACGCCGCGUGCGGGAUGACGGCCUUCGGGUUGUAAACCGCUUUCGCCUGUGACGAAGCGUAAGUGACGGUAAUGGGUAAAGAAGCACCGGCUAACUACGUG
RNAcentral lists this ribosomal RNA (468 nucleotides) under uncultured bacterium. RNAcentral describes it as "partial 16S ribosomal RNA". It matches the Rfam family "Bacterial small subunit ribosomal RNA", at positions 28 to 507 of the family's 1533-position model. The record is from RNAcentral.